This 555-nucleotide ribosomal RNA is filed under the name uncultured Pseudomonadota bacterium. RNAcentral's name for it is "bacterial SSU rRNA". It matches the Rfam family "Bacterial small subunit ribosomal RNA", at positions 99 to 650 of the family's 1533-position model. The record is from RNAcentral. Lineage: Bacteria; Pseudomonadati; Pseudomonadota.
CGGACGGGUGAGUAAUGUCUGGGAAACUGCCUGAUGGAGGGGGAUAACUACUGGAAACGGUAGCUAAUACCGCAUAACGUCGCAAGACCAAAGAGGGGGACCUUCGGGCCUCUUGCCAUCGGAUGUGCCCAGAUGGGAUUAGCUAGUAGGUGGGGUAAAGGCUCACCUAGGCGACGAUCCCUAGCUGGUCUGAGAGGAUGACCAGCCACACUGGAACUGAGACACGGUCCAGACUCCUACGGGAGGCAGCAGUGGGGAAUAUUGCACAAUGGGCGCAAGCCUGAUGCAGCCAUGCCGCGUGUAUGAAGAAGGCCUUCGGGUUGUAAAGUACUUUCAGCGGGGAGGAAGGGAGUAAAGUUAAUACCUUUGCUCAUUGACGUUACCCGCAGAAGAAGCACCGGCUAACUCCGUGCCAGCAGCCGCGGUAAUACGGAGGGUGCAAGCGUUAAUCGGAAUUACUGGGCGUAAAGCGCACGCAGGCGGUUUGUUAAGUCAGAUGUGAAAUCCCCGGGCUCAACCUGGGAACUGCAUCUGAUACCGGCAAGCUUGAGUCUC